UCGCUAUUAUAAUUUUGCAGAAAUGUCAAAUGUAUCCAAUAAAUAGGGGUAUAAAUACCAUUCCCAUGUGAAUUGUAAAAUAUUAAGUGUUAACGUUUUUGAAGAGUAUUCCGUAAAAAUGAGGAACUGUGUGUGCUUUUUUCUGUAUACUCUAUGUUUAAUGCUGUUUGUCUCCAAGAUAUGUGCAUUUACAGGUCGACAAAUGAAGGAUCCACCUGGAGCUGAAGUUCCAUGUACAACAGCAGUUGGUAUGCUCAAAGUAGGAGAAUCAAAGAAAUCUUACACAGACUGUAUCGAAUAUUAUUGUGGAGCGGGUGACAUUAGCAUUGUUGGCAUCGGUUACAAUGCCGGGAAGUUUGGUAUAGAAGGAUGUUUCCAGGUAAAUUUGGAUAACUGUUGUUAUAUGUUUAUGAAUUCUACCAAUCCAUCUGAAAGCUGUACAGAACCCAGCUGUCCGUGAAAAGAUUAAAAAUGUACUGGUUGUUAAAUGCUUCUAUAUUUCAAAAUACUUUUCUAGAUAAAAUAAUUGAAAUAUAGAUUGCCAAAUAAAGGUCAUUCGUGAAUUCGAGAAUUGAGUUUUAAUUUUGAGGCUCGAGACAGUGGCGGAAUUAGAUGACGCGAGGUCCUAGGCUAUUCCAUUAAGGAACUAUUGCCUCAUAACUGGGGGAAGAUGAAAGUUUGUUUUAAACACAAUUCAGCAAUGCCGAAGAGGGUGGCGGUUAUUCAACACUGCAGUACAUGUAACAAAUGCUUAUGAAAGUGUCAAAAGUAUUAUACACCUUGGUCGGGGGUCUCCAACAUGUUAAUCACCAUGUAUAUGCAUACGUGUAUAUACUGCUAAGGAAAUACUUAAAGUGCUGCGGGAAUUUUUUUUCACGUCCAUUCAUCUUGUACUGUCGUGGAUGCAACAGGAACAACCCUCCUGGUUCUUUCAUAUAAUGGGGAUUAGCUUAACUGUUAAAAAAAUCUACUAGUCAGAGAGUUGAAGAUUAAUGUCUUCAAACUUCCUGGGAUUGUUCUACUAGCGAUAAAAUGAAACUUCCCGGUGUCCCGAAUCGUGGGGGGGGGGGGGGGGGUUGGAUGGUCGAAUGGUUAUCACGUGCUCGCUGUAUCAUAAGAUCUGUUGCGCGUGGUUACAAGGAGUAGGGUCGCCUGUUCAACUUCGUGGGUUUUCUCUGGGUCCCCCGGUUUCCCCCCACUGCUAAGGACCCCUACGCACAAGCGAAUUAUUGAAAUAGAAUUGAACCAUGUGUUAGUCCCGAAAUGACCUAGUUUGUGUCGAGUGGACGUUAAACCCCAUUUCUCUUUCUAUCUCUUGGUUUCGAAUCCCCGGUUGUACGUGGCAAGGAGUAGGGUCGCCUGUCCAACCUCGUGGGUUUUCUCCGGGUCCUCCGGUUUCCUCCCACUGCUAAAGACCCCUACGCGCAAGCGAAUUAUUGAAAUAAAAUUAAACCAUAUGUUAGUCCAGAAAUGACCUAGUUUGUGUCUAGUGGACGUUAAACCCCAUUUCUCUCUCUCUCUCUCUGUUCCGAAUCGUGUAUAAGUAUAGGGUAGAAUGAUAAAGUUUAAUAAAACAAAAACGUGCUGCGCCAAUCCAUAUAUGCUCUUCAAAAAAAGUAUGGGAUAUUGAAAUGAAAAUACUUAUGCAGGUUGCGAUAUGAUAUGGACAUUUGACAUGCUUUGAGAGUAUGUUCACAGAUGAAGAACUUAUCGCCCCAACAGAACCACUGAGCUGCACAUGCGACACGCAAUAGCGCCAUACAAGUGAGAGGUUUUCAUUGUCAAAUUUGACACUUCAAGGAAGGGUUGAUGAAAACUGCGGCGUGCUGGUUUAUCUAUCCAUGUUUGCUUUCCUAUCGGUUCUUGCAUAAGAUUUACUGUUUAGCAUAUCUUUGCUUUAGUGUGUUACGUUUAAUUUGAUCGGGGGACGUGUUCGUCGACGUCAACCUCAACCGACAACACUGCAAGCAUUGGCCGUGGCACUGCAAGAGGAGUGGGUCAGAUUUCCCCAAAUCGUGACUGGACGGUGAUUAGAAGCAUGCCACGAAGAAUUGCUGAAUGUCUGAGGAUUGGUGGAGCAAUUACUCAUUAUUAAGACAAAAAUCAAAAACGUCCAUUUUCACUUUUGAAAAUUAGACAUCAUCACUAAAUUUCUUGUAAAAAAAUGAUUGUGAUUAAGUUAGAAGUUCAGUCAUUGGUUUUCUAUUACGAACAACCAUUUUUAGACUGAUAUCACAUUUACAGAUUCAUCUUUUACAAUACUGUAGUUUGGAAUACACCCAGAUACUUUAAGUAGCGACAAUAUAUAUUAAACAAUCAGGUUAACAUAAUUUGUAAAACUGCGCAUAUAACUGAUUAUUAAUUAUUAUGACAUUUGGUGUCACUUGUUUGUAACUGACAUUUUCAAAUGAACAGAGGUGUACAAUGUACAUGCUGUGAUGAUUCAGCAGUUGUUAAUUAUUUGUUAAUAUAAGAUUUAAUUUGACACAGAUGUGUCCUCUGAAUAGGUACCAGUUCGGCAAAAAAGAGUCACCAAAAUAUUGAUGUUGCAAUAAUUGAUUUAAUAUCUAUCUUAACUGCUGUUUUAAUUUCGCACAGAUGUCAAAUGUUUCUACUGAAUAAGGGUAUAAAUACCAUUCCCUUGUGAAUUGUGAAAUAUUAACUGUUCACGUUUUUGAAGAGUAUUCCGUAAAAAUGAGGAACUGUGUAUGCUUUUUUCUGUAUACUCUCUGUUUAAUUAUGUUUGUCUCCAAGAUAUGUGCAUUUACAGCUCUACAAUGGAAGGAUCCACCUGGAGCUGAUGUUCCAUGUACUACAUCAGUUGGUAUUCUCCAAGUAGGAGAAUCAAAGAAAUCCUAUACAGAGUGUGUCGAAUAUUAUUGUGAAGCGGAUUACAUUAGCAUUGCUGGCAUCGGUUACAAUGCCGGGAAGGUUGGUUUCAACGGAUGUUUCCAGAUAAAUUUGGAUAACUGCUGCUUUACGUUUAUGAAUUCUACCAAUCCCUCUGAAAGCUGUACAGAACCCAGUUGUCCGUGAAAAGAUUGAUAAUGUACUGGUUGUUAAAUGCUUCUAUAUUUCAAAAUACUUUUCUAGAUAAAAUAAUUGAAAUAUAGAUUGCCAAAUAAAGUUCAUUCGUGAA
This is a long non-coding RNA of Patella vulgata (common limpet), 3139 nucleotides long. RefSeq lists it as uncharacterized. The record is from RefSeq and is a predicted model, not a curated record. The transcript is spliced from 7 exons. NCBI's taxonomy places the organism in Eukaryota, Metazoa, Mollusca, Gastropoda, Patellidae.